Molecule: ribosomal RNA, 253 nt
Filed under: uncultured bacterium
Lineage: Bacteria
Description: partial 16S ribosomal RNA
Rfam family: Bacterial small subunit ribosomal RNA
Source: RNAcentral
UACGUAGGGGGCAAGCGUUGUCCGGAUUUAUUGGGCGUAAAGGGCGUGUAGGCGGCCAGACAGGUCCGUUGUGAAAACUGGAGGCUCAACCUCCAGACGUCGAUGGAAACCGUCUGGCUAGAGUCCGGAAGAGGAGAGUGGAAUUCCUAGUGUAGCGGUGAAAUGCGCAGAUAUCAGGAAGAACACCCGUGGCGAAAGCGGCUCUCUGGGACGGUACUGACGCUGAGACGCGAAAGCGUGGGGAGCGAACAGG